This 301-nucleotide ribosomal RNA is filed under the name uncultured bacterium. RNAcentral's name for it is "partial 16S ribosomal RNA". It matches the Rfam family "Bacterial small subunit ribosomal RNA", at positions 509 to 807 of the family's 1533-position model. The record is from RNAcentral.
CAGCAGCCACGGUAAUACCGAGGGUGCAAGCGUUAAUCGGAAUUACUGGGCGUAAAGCGCGCGUAGGUGGUUUGUUAAGUUGGAUAUGAAAUCCCCGGGCUCAACCUGGGAACUGCAUCCAAAACUGGCAAGAUAGAGUAUGGUAGAGGGUGGUGGAAUUUCCUGUGUAGCGGUGAAAUGCGUAGAUAUAGGAAGGAACACCAGUGGCGAAGGCGACCACCUGGACUGAUACUGACACUGAGGUGCGAAAGCGUGGGGAGCAAACAGGAUUAGAUACCCCCGUAGUCCCUGUCUCUUAUAC